Molecule: ribosomal RNA, 492 nt
Filed under: uncultured bacterium
Lineage: Bacteria
Description: partial 16S ribosomal RNA
Rfam family: Bacterial small subunit ribosomal RNA
Source: RNAcentral
AGUGAACGCUGGCGGUAGGCCUAACACAUGCAAGUCGAACGGCAGCACAGUAAGAGCUUGCUCUUACGGGUGGCGAGUGGCGGACGGGUGAGGAAUACAUCGGAAUCUACUUUUUCGUGGGGGGUAACGUAGGGAAACUUACGCUAAUACCGCAUACGACCUACGGGUGAAAGCAGGGGAUCUUCGGACCUUGCACGAUUGAAUGAGCCGAUGUCGGAUUAGCUGGUUGGCGGGGUAAAGGCCCACCAAGGCGACGAUCCGUAGCUGGUCUGAGAGGAUGAUCAGCCACACUGGAACUGAGACACGGUCCAGACUCCUACGGGAGGCAGCAGUGGGGAAUAUUGGACAAUGGGCGCAAGCCUGAUCCAGCCAUACCGCGUGGGUGAAGAAGGCCUUCGGGUUGUAAAGCCCUUUUGUUGGGAAAGAAAAGCAGCAGGUUAAUACCCCGCUGUUCUGACGGUACCCAAAGAAUAAGCACCGGCUAACUUCGUG